This 578-nucleotide long non-coding RNA is filed under the name Homo sapiens (human). Its description in RNAcentral is "HSALNT0165660". Lineage: Eukaryota; Metazoa; Chordata; Mammalia; Primates; Hominidae. The record is from RNAcentral.
GACUUUUCAAGCAAUCACUCAAGGACUUGGACUUUUUUAAAUUGUAUUUCUCCCCUCCUUUAGGUUCAUGAUGCUCUCUCUGGCCACCUUCCAGACAGGAAGAAAGAGCAGAGGAUCACUGUGAGAGGAAUUUGAGGAUCAAAUCCUGAAGUAACCUGUGACUAUGAAAAGAUAUUAUUGCCAUGGCUCUGUUAUGUUAUAUAGUACAGGUGAUCUUGAAAAAGGGAGAUUAUUUGGGUUGACCCAAUCUAACCAUAAGUCCUGAAAUGCACAAAGCUUUCUCUGGUGUGACAGAGUUUCUUUGCUUGACCAAACAUUAGUCAGUCUCUUGAAUCUUCUCCCAGGCCCAUCUAUGCACUUCCUUAUAAAAUCCACUUUUAGCAAGAACCCUGCUUAGUGAAUUUAGCAAGAACUCCUCACCCUCGAUAUCUGACUGGACUCCUCAUCCUCCACCAUCUCCCAGGUGAUGUCUGAACAUCCUGGACUGUCUUCAGCAAGAAUCUUGUUAGGAGUAGAAAGCAGAAGGCAACGUUAGAUGUAAAAAGAAAGACCUCAAAGCACUGUUGCUGGUAUGAAGA